GAUGAAGAACGCAGCGAAAUGCGAUAAGUAAUGUGAAUUGCAGAAUUCAGUGAAUCAUCGAAUCUUUGAACGCACAUUGCGCCCAUUAGUAUUCUAGUGGGCAUGCCUGUUCGAGCGUCAUUAAGUCCACUUAAGCCCUGCUUAGUGUUGGGAGACUGCUCCAGCGGUGCUACCCUGUAGCUACCCUGCAGCUCCUCAAAGACAGCGGCGGAGUUGUGGUAUCCUCUGAGCUUAGUAACUUGUUCUAGCUUUCGAGUACACCACUUCCCCUGCCGUAAAACCCUUAAUUUUUAAUGGUUGACCUCGGAUCAGGUAGGAAUACCAGCUGAACUUAAGCAUAUCAAUAAGCGGAGGA
Molecule: unclassified non-coding RNA, 355 nt
Filed under: soil metagenome
Description: partial contains 5.8S ribosomal RNA, internal transcribed spacer 2, and large subunit ribosomal RNA
Rfam family: 5.8S ribosomal RNA (bases 1-120)
Source: RNAcentral